AUGAUUAUGCAUCUUUUUAUUAUUUGAGUAAAGUAUAAAUGCAAGUAGAAACACUUAGCUAGAUAAAUGGGGGUGCUCUCCCCCAAGGUGGAUUUUGACGUAAUUUCUUCUGAUGUAGCUAGCAGAUGGUGGAGGUGUAUUUGAAUGUCGGCAGCAUCCUGACAGCGAUUAGGAUAUCCUCCGUCUGCUAGUCUUCUUUGAUCCUUGAAUUCUGUGGAGCUCAAAUAGACAACAAAGCUUUGUGGAACUGGUUAAGUGUUAGCAUAAAUAUCUAGCCUUUAUCAUGUUGAGCCUCGUCAAUAAAUAUUACUUAUUUAGCAGGACCAUGCACUUAUUAUUUUUAUAUUUUUAUUGUAAGAUGAAAAGAUAUUUAUUUUAUGCCACCACAGUGAAUGUACCUAUGGGUUUUAUGCCAUGAGCAUACUCACAUGGGGCUUACUAUUUUUAUUUUCUUUCUGAGAUGAUAUGAACCUGAUUAACUAAGCAAACUAUAAUUGAAUAAUUGAAAGGAAAAGGAUAACUACCAAGUUUACCUCUUGGCAAGGCGUUCGGUGUUUUUAAGUCCUCCGAACGGGACUUCUUGUGUUUUUAGUCGUCCUGAGAUUCGCUAGGUGGCGUAGUCGGUGGUUCCGGCGGCGCCUCUCUUCGUGUAUAACUAUCUUCUCUUUCCACAUCUGACUCGGUGCUACGGUCUCCUCAGGACAGUUCUGUUCAAGCUAUAUGUCUUCAGACCUUAUCACUUCUCCUUCAUAGUCUACCCAUCCAUCCUUGAUGAUUUGCCUCCUCUGGUUGCGGUUGCGUUGUCUUCUUCUUGUCCUGACCUGCUUAGAAUCUUCAACUAUAUAGUUAGAAUCAUUAAAGUAGUGGCGUACCUUCUCAGAGGGGAAGUGCAUGUGGACUUCUCCGGUUCCAAUAUAGAUGAUGGCUUUGAUAGUGUUUGAGGAACGGUCGUCCAAGGAUGGUAGGUAGAUCGUACUCGUCUUCUCUCAUGUCAAUGACCUGAAAAUCAUCUGGAGCUGAAUAUAUAUUGGUUGUAGGGGCAUGGUUCCAUGCAGGAGCUGAUAAGUGACUGCGGCCAUUAUGUUGUCGUCAGAUCCGGUGUCGUAGAGUGUCUUCUAAAAAGAGUAUCUGUUGAUUGUGCACUCAAUGCUUGGAACAUCAGGGUUGUCUUUCUUAAUCAAGAAAGGUGACUUGAGUCGACGAUCUUGACCUCCUUGAGCUGCAGUGACCGUCUUAGCUGACUCGGUUCACAUUUGCUUGUUCCUGUUCCUCCUGUUGGUCCUCUUCCUUGGUUCAUGUCAGUAUUGCUCUGAAGUUUGUGUAGUAUUGUUCUUGAAGGAAAGUCUCCUUCUUCCCCUUGAUGUAGAGACUGAUCUUGGCAGUAUUAGUGUAGAUGACAGCUCUGGUAUUUAGGAAUGGCCUCCCUAAGAUGAUGGGUGCCCUGUCCUCAAUACCAGCCUCUAUCACCAUGAAGUUUGCUGGAGCGUACAAGGUACCAACUCGGACACAGAGGUUCUUCAAUAUUUCCUUUGGGAAACUAAGUGUCUGAUCACCAUUGUGUUUGUGCUCGUAGAUCCCGGUUCUUCACUUGGUGGAAUCUGGGAGUUGUAAAACUCCUCCAUGUUUUGUUUGAAGUGUACCUAUUCAUAGAGACAAGGCAGAGAUCAAGUGCAUGGGCCCUGUUGGUGGAAAACACCAACAGAACCAAAAGUGUAUUUGUUCUUCUCUAACCUUAAGCAUAGUGAGCAAGACAAAGUUGAUGGAUCAUGAGUGUAGCAUUUAAAACAUUUGUUAGAUUAGAUGGCUCAACCUAAUGGAAAGAUAAUCUAUCUAUAUUUAUGUUUUGUUUAUAUCUUCCAAAGAUUGAAUGUGCAAUAUUUUAGCUUAUAUGAUUAGGAGUGUGGGAUCACGAAGGUAGUACUAAGAACAAAGAUUAAAGGACUAAACAUGUUUAAUUAAUUGGGUUGAUUAAUUUGGAGCUACAAAUCAUACAUGUUUGUCUCUUUAUUUUAUGUGAACGCUAGAACCAAGGAGAAGCUUAUAAAAGUGAUAGUCAAGUACCUUAAAAUGUUACCUUACUUGAAGAGUGACGGUACAGUAUCACCUUGUGGAAGCUUUCCUUUCUUAGCGGUUGUGCAUCGUGUUUGUGGCACCCUCCAUGGAUCAUCUCUUUAUGAUGAAUGAGCUAUGUCUUCCUUGUGCAAGUCAUUAAAUUUCAUGUGUCUCCUUUAUCUCCAAUGUGAGUUUGUUUCUCAGGACUUCCCAGGUUGAAAGUUUUCCUGCAGGGGUUAGUCCAACAAAAUAUCCCAUAUCUACUAUAGCAUACUAUCGGCUCAAAAAUCAACCUAGACACCAUGUCUAAUUUGAUUUAGAAGGGCAUUUUAACCUAAGCACCAUGCUUAAUUUAAAAUCCCUUGGAAGUAAGAUCAUCAUUCCUAAACUAAGCACCAUGCUUAAUUAAGAGAUAAAUGAAACUAUUCCAAACCUAGACAUAUACUAAAGCAAAUAAAGGUAGCAUGAGAGCAUUUAUAGAGAUCUACUUAAGUGGAGAUGAAGUAGUGUAAUUAGUAUUUAACAAAUUGAGCAUGUCUCAAAGGUAAGGACAACCAACGUAGCAACAUGGCAAAAGAUGUUAUUAUGUAAAGUACUCCCCCAAGCUUGAAUUUUACAAAAUUCAAGUUUGGAUGAAUUUAAUUCAAUGUUGCAUGAUGAUUGGUGGGACAUACCUUGUGCUUGUCAUUCAUCCGAUCUUCUUGCUCCAACCCUAGAAAGGUUAGUGGCAAGAAUACCCGAAGGAAUAUUUCUACAAUUAUCUUUAUAUGCUCAAUACACAAGGCAAUGUUGCAAAUAAUUAGAAGUUCAUGUUACGAUCUGAUCAGUGCGAAUUAAGCAAUGGUUUAGGACACUAAGCAAAUAAUUAAGCAAAUAAUUAGAAGUGCUUGUUUUAGGACACUAAGCUUGUCCUUGGGAAACCAUCAAUCAACUCAACGAGAUCUGCAAUAUUUAUUAUAGACAUAUGCAUCGACAACUGCUCUUUUAAAGUUGUUAUAAAUAGAAAAGAAGAGAGGGUUGGAGAUCUCAAAUGUGGUAAGGAUGGAGAGACCAAUUGAUUGGGGAGAUGUUUUAUAUGAGCAAGGACUUGGUAAGAUAUUUAUGAAAUAACUUCCAUGCUCACUGUUGUUUCUCCCAUUCUCAAACUCCAAGGUUGAUUCUUCAUGAAUGCUUAAAAUUCCUCUAGGAUUGUCUCUCAAGUUUGUUUUAUCCAUCCAUUCAAUGGUGAUAGCACAUGGAUUUUUAAUGCCCUCUAGCCAUCGAUGUUGCUCUUCUCGAUCCUCCUUCUUAUGCAUGGGAUGUCUAGAUAGAUUUAUAGGAUUAUCGGGAGGUUCAAGAGAAAUAGCAUAGUAGAGAUUAUUAAACUCAAGGAUGGGUUGGAUAGCCGAAUUAUGGGAUUGAAAUGUUUGGAAAUUGGCUAUUGAAACUUCCUUUCCUCGUCUGGGAGAUGAUUCCUUCUCUAUUUCUAAGAUUUUUCUAUGAAGACUAGUACAAGAAGGAUGUCCACGAAUGAAGACAUACCUUCCUUUACUAAUAGAUAAAGAAAGAAGGACUCUACCAAAGGUUAUAUGAUUAAGACCAAUGUGAAAAUAUUUAGGAAAAACAUGGUCUUGUAGGGCUAGGUCUAAACCAGAAUUUAUAAAAAUAUUUACAGAUUCCCUAGGUGUAGCUAAAAGUGCAUUAUCUUCUUGAUUAAAAGAUAGGACCUCAGCUAUAGAAAAGGGUUGGUUUUGACCUAUUGCAAUCAACUCCAGACACAGAUCAUAAUUAGGGGCAGGACGUGUUGACUCCCAUGGUCUAUGGCUGGUUUCCGAAGGUGCAAAGAAUUCAAUAAUAGGUAUGAAAUUUAAGUUAUCCAUAAAGAUAAAAAUAAAAAGAUAAAAGAAUAAAAGUAUAAAAGUAUAAUACAAGAUAAUAGCAAGACUCAAACUUAUCUCAGCAAACCGUCUUUCUCCCCGGCAACGGUGCCAGAAAUGGUUGUUGAUAUUUGGUAACGCAAUAAGGAAAUGAUCCGCAAGCGCACGGAUAUCGGUGAGCAUUUCACCCGGGAGGUUAUCCAGAGUUAUCGUAUUUAUAUUUUUACCACUGGGAGAAAGGGUGCAUCUGACUAACCAAAUCUAUUGCUAUUACCCCUUUAGGCAACAAAGAAUGUUUCUCGAUGUGAGUGAUGUAUAGAGAAGACUGCAACCAUAGUCUCGUUCUAGCCUUGGUAAGGAUGAUCUACUGUUCUAUUGGGGAGGCUCACGGAAUCUAGACAACACAAAGGAUGUUUGACCCGCACCUAUAAACCCUACCCGUCCUGCUAACAAGAUAUGGGAUACAAAGGUAACUCGGAAAUGUCACGUUCCUCGCUACUACCACGGUCCAGCUAGUCAGGGGAUAUCUAUGAGUACCCUAGCCUAAACACCACGUUUACGCUAGCAAGUGAUUACUCUAAUACUCAACCGGAAGAGGAUUAAAGUAAACUCAUAAACCAAAGAACAAUAAAACAAGAACUUACUAGUAAUUAGAAGUCGAAUUACUGAAGAAUCUUAGAAGCAAGCCUCGGGUUAGGAGACUUGAUCCCGUAGGUACAACUCGGAGUAGACACCGACAGGCCGGCCUUCCUCCGAUCCACACCUCCACUCUAUCUCUCUCAAUCUAGUAGAAACUAGAAGAUCUAUUUCUACUUUACAUUGGUUGCUAAGCCUAAAAAGAAAUAUUAUUUAGAGAAGAGGUUUUCCUACGAGGGCACCCCUCAAUCUCUAUGAUAAUUUCUUGUCUUCUCCAGGGGCCAGGGGGGUCUCCUUAUAUAGUCCUCCUCCUCUAUGCAUUUUUGGGUCGGUAGGCGAGGUGGUACUACAUUAUCUUUGAUCUAUUAGGUCGGUGGAACGUCGUGUGCGAAGAGAGUCCCGAAAGGCUUCCAGAGGUGGGCGGGCGCCCAGGUCACCAGGGCGGGCGCCCUGGGCCUGGCCCCUUUCGGCCUCCGCUUCCUUCCCGUGGCUUCUGGAGUCUUCUAGAUGGUAGAAAAUUGCGCGGUGCGUUGAUAUCUCUAUGUAAUCCUGACAUGUGGGCCUUUCUUCCUUAUUUCCUGAUAACCCCCUGCAGAAAUAGACAAACACCAAAACUCAUGUAAUUCUGUCAGAUAAAACCCUAAGUCUAGAUGUUGAUUUCAUUUGGAUCCUUUUCUUUGUUUAUUUGAUAAUUAAAUUUGAUACUUAAGAACCGUCAACAAACUCCCCCAAGCUUACCUCUUGCUCGUCCCUGAGCAAGGAUGAACUCAAGAGUUUCUGCAGUGGUUUCAUGCCUUAAAAGUACACACGCAUUCAAGCAAGAUCUCAUCUCUGAGUUGGAAUAAACUGUUAAGACUUAAAACUUACUCAUUUUACCUUUCACCAUGGGGCUUGUAACCGUCACUUGUGUCUUGAGCAGUUAAAAGAUAGAACGGUCAAGUCAAGCGCCAUGUCUCUUAUUCUUGAUCAGCUAUAGCUCUGGAGUUUUUGUAGAUUUUCAAAUAAAACUCAGAGAUUCCUUUAUAUGACUCUCUCAAAUCUCUCUUUUGUGGUAUUUCUGGAUCCUUACCAAGGCAGUAAUGGUAUAUGCCUUCUCUCAAAGUAUGUAGUAUUUGUGGUAUGAGGCAUAGUGAUAUUGCCUUCUCUCUCACCCUACUCUAAUAAGGUUCUGAUAUCUGGAGCUCAUAGGUGGGAGACAGCUAAUACAUACUUACAAGACAUUUAUUGCAUAGUCAAACCAUGGAUCCAGAGAAACAAGUCAAUAAGUCAAAUCAAGAUGUGCAUGUGUGGCGAAUGAAUGAUGUAUGGUGAUGAUGGUGAUAAUAAUGGUGAAAGUUUGCUCUUUUGAGGGGAUACAUACCUUUCUUGCACUUUGAAGCUUUUUGGGGAGAAUGAGAUGCUCUAUAUUUUCUUUUUGUUUUCUCUCAGGUGGGUAUCUUGUACCCCUAAUUCUACCGUCGGACACUUGUCCAUUUUUACCUCUCGUCUCACUUUUUCUUUUCUUCGAGGUUCCGGGCACUUGCCCCUUUUUAUUUCCUCGUAUUAUUUUUUUACUCUUUUUUUAGAGCACUCAUCUCCUUAAAUAAUAUAGCAAGUGGUAGUAACCAAGAUAACUCGAGCAUUUAUUUCACAGGAAAAAACAGGGAUAGAAAAAUAUUUUUGGCUAUUCUCUCCCAGAUAGGAGUAGAAUAAUUUUUGGGUGAAUCUGGAGAUGGAAAUGAGUGGAUAUAUGUGGAUGGUACUUCCGGAGUAGAAGUAGCAUGUAUGAGUGAACGUGCAAGUGAAUCUUGAUUUUAACCACAUGACAAACUCCUAAGGGUCUACACAGCUUGACCACACUCAAUGCUCAUAAGCCGUAAAAAGUAAAUAUGUGGCUCAAAGUCUAGCAAGCAUGUAUAUAUGGCUGUGGUAGGAAUUUAAACUCUCAUCAUAUAGGAACUCAUCAUGUGUUAUUUUAAAGAUUUUUCAAAGAUAAAAUUCUCCAGAAUUCUAGCAUCUAUAGGAACAGAUAAACAGCAGCUCAACCUUCUCAUAUCAUAUCCGUUAACGACUUAGACUUUAGAUCAAGUACUCUUCCCACAAGUUUAGGUUUAAAUUAUAACAGUUAUGCCUAAACUUGAGAGAGAUUUCAAUUUUAAGAACUAGUCAUGGCAGAGCAACUAUUCAUCAUUUCCAUGUGAGAGCUUAUCAUGAGGGUUCAUAGCAAACUUUAUUUAUUUAUUAUUUAGCAAACUAAGCAAAGAUAUAUAUAAAAGCACAAAAACUUUAUUUGGGUUUUAUGAUUAUGCAUCUUUUUAUUAUUUGUGUAAAGUAUAAACGCAAGUAGAAACACUUAGCUAGAUAAAUGGGGGUGCUCUCCCCCAAGCUGGAUUUUGACGUAAUUUCUUCUGAUGUAGCUAGCAGAUGGUGGAGGUGUAUUUGAAUGUCGGCAGCACCCUGACAACGAUUAGGAUAUCCUCCGUCUGCUAGUCUUCUUUGAUCCUUGAAUUCUGUGGAGCUCAAAUAGACAACAAAGCUUUGUAGAACUGGUUAAGUGUUAGCAUAAAUAUCUAGCCUUUAUCAUGUUGAGCCUCCUCAAUAAAUAUUACUUAUUUAGCAGGAUCAUGCACUUAUUAUUUUUAUAUUUUUAUUUUAAGAUGAAAAGAUAUUUAUUUUAUGCCACCACAGUGAAUGUACCUAUGGGUUUUAUGCCAUGAGCAUACUCACAUGGGGCUUACUAUUUUUAUUUUCUUUCUGAGAUGAUAUGAACCUGAUUAACUAAGCAAACUAUAAUUGAAUAAUUGAAAGGAAAAGGAUAACUACCAAGUUUACCUCUUGGCAAGGCGUUCGGUGUUUUUAAGUCCUCCGAACGGGACUUCUUGUGUUUUUAGUCGUCCUGGGAUUCGCUAGGUGGCGUAGUCGGUGGUUCCGGCGGCGCCUCUCUUCGUGUAUAACUAUCUUCUCUUUCCACAUCUGACUCGGUGCUACGGUCUCCUCAGGACAGUUCUGUUCAAGCUAUAUGUCUUCAGACCUUAUCACUUCUCCUUCAUAGUCUACCCAUCCGUCCUUGAUGAUUUGCCUCCUCUGGUUGCGGUUGCGUUGUCUUCUUCUUGUCCUGACCUGCUUAGAAUCUUCAACUAUAUAGUUAGAAUCAUUAAAGUAGUGGCGUACCUUCUCAGAGGAAGUGCAUGUGGACUUCUCCGGUUCCAAUAUAGAUGAUGGCUUUGAUAGUGUUUGAGGAACGGUCGUCCAAGGAUGGUAGGUAGAUCGUACUCGUCUUCUCUCAUGUCAAUGACCUGAAAAUCAUCUGGAGCUGAAUAUAUAUUGGUUGUAGGGGCAUGGUUCCAUGCAGGAGCUGAUAAGUGACUGCGGCCAUUAUGUUGUCGUCAGAUCCGGUGUCGUAGAGUGUCUUCUAAAAAGAGUAUCUGUUGAUUGUGCACUCAAUGCUUGGAACAUCAGGGUUGUCCUUCUUAAUCAAGAAAGGUGACUUGAGUCGACGAUCUUGACCUCCUUGAGCUGCAGUGACCAUCUUAGCUGACUCGGUUCAUAUUUGCUUGUUCCUGUUCCUCCUGUUGGUCCUCUUCCUUGGUUCAUGUCAGUAUUGCUCUAAAGUUUGUGUAGUCUUGUUCUUGAAGGAAAGUCUCCUUCUACCCCUUGAUGU
Molecule: long non-coding RNA, 8184 nt
Filed under: Sorghum bicolor (sorghum)
Lineage: Eukaryota; Viridiplantae; Streptophyta; Magnoliopsida; Poales; Poaceae
Description: long non-coding RNA (SBIC_LNC003163)
Source: RNAcentral